GAUUAAAUGGCUGAACAAUAGGCGAUAGAUUGUAAAUCUAUUUAUGAGAAUAAUUCUCUUUAAUCA
RNAcentral lists this transfer RNA (66 nucleotides) under Vermiophis taishanensis. RNAcentral describes it as "tRNA-Tyr". It matches the Rfam family "tRNA". Rfam says of the family: Transfer RNA (tRNA) molecules are approximately 80 nucleotides in length. Their secondary structure includes four short double-helical elements and three loops (D, anti-codon, and T loops). Lineage: Eukaryota; Metazoa; Arthropoda; Insecta; Diptera; Vermileonidae. The record is from RNAcentral.